Molecule: long non-coding RNA, 619 nt
Organism: Gossypium arboreum
Lineage: Eukaryota; Viridiplantae; Streptophyta; Magnoliopsida; Malvales; Malvaceae
Exons: 2
Source: RefSeq, a predicted model, not a curated record
CUCCGUUGCCUUCUCUUUCGCUCCUUUUUCCACUCACGCUCGAUAUCGUGCUGUUCGGAGAUGAAACCCCAGCUUCUUCUUCACAAUCUGCCGUCGAUGGCAAUAUGUUCAUGUCGAUUCCUCUAAAAAUUGACCCCAUCUCCGCCCGGAAUGAUUCCGAGUUAUGAUCUGCGUGCAAAAAAACCAUUUCAUAUAAAUAAAGUGCAGGUGAAAACUAUUGCCAAAAAAAGCUACGUCAAACAUUGAAAAAGCAAUACAAAAGCAUUUAUAAGGGGAAAAUGAUACUGAAGCAUCGUUUGUUUCUCGGGAAAAAAAGAAGAGAUCUGAAAGGUGAUAUAUGUCCCAUGCAAAGACAGAAAGUAGGAGAAGAAACAAACCUGAAGGAGGAGAAGAAUCAUUCCAUGAGUGUUUGUUAAGGGUUAAAGUAGAAGGAGAAGAGCAAGAAUUAGCAGAGGAAGGAACAAGCGAAGGCCUAAGAUUUCGCUGUAAAGAGUGGUGAUUCUGAGGGAAACUCAAGCUCAGACUCAAACCCAGAUCUUCUUUUUCCGCCAUCUUUGAUUUUUUUUUUUUUUUUCUCUUUUGCCAAACACACUUUUUCCUUGUAUGUAGUUUAGAUUGU